GACGAACGCUGGCGGCGUGCCUAAUACAUGCAAGUAGAACGCUGAAGGAGGAGCUUGCUUCUCUGGAUGAGUUGCGAACGGGUGAGUAACGCGUAGGUAACCUGCCUGGUAGCGGGGGAUAACUAUUGGAAACGAUAGCUAAUACCGCAUAAGAGUAGAUGUUGCAUGACAUUUGCUUAAAAGGUGCAAUUGCAUCACUACCAGAUGGACCUGCGUUGUAUUAGCUAGUUGGUGGGGUAACGGCUUACCAAGGCGACGAUACAUAGCCGACCUGAGAGGGGGAUCGGCCACACUGGGACUGAGACACGGCCCAGACUCCUACGGGGGGGAGCAGUAGGGAAUCUUCGGCAAUGGACGGAAGUCUGACCGAGCAACGCCGCGUGAGUGAAGAAGGUUUUCGGAUCGUAAAGCUCUGUUGUAAGAGAAGAACGAGUGUGAGAGUGGAAAGUUCACACUGUGACGGUAUCUUACCAGAAAGGGACGGCUAACUACGUG
This 495-nucleotide ribosomal RNA is filed under the name uncultured bacterium. Its description in RNAcentral is "partial 16S ribosomal RNA". It matches the Rfam family "Bacterial small subunit ribosomal RNA", at positions 28 to 507 of the family's 1533-position model. The record is from RNAcentral.